ACACUAACUGGAGGACCGAACCGACUAAUGUUGAAAAAUUAGCGGAUGACCUGUGGCUGGGGGUGAAAGGCCAAUCAAACCGGGAGAUAGCUGGUUCUCCCCGAAAGCUAUUUAGGUAGCGCCUCGUGAAUUCAUCUCCGGGGGUAGAGCACUGUUUCGGCUAGGGGGCCAUCCCGGCUUACCAACCCGAUGCAAACUGCGAAUACCGGAGAAUGUUAUCACGGGAGACACACGGCGGGUGCUAACGUCCGUCGUGAAGAGGGAAACAACCCAGACCGCCAGCUAAGGUCCCAAAGUCAUGGUUAAGUGGGAAACGAUGUGGGAAGGCCCAGACAGCCAGGAUGUUGGCUUAGAAGCAGCCAUCAUUUAAAGAAAGCGUAAUAGCUCACUGGUCGAGUCGGCCUGCGCGGAAGAUGUAACGGGGCUAAACCAUGCACCGAAGCUGCGGCAGCGACACUGUGUGUUGUUGGGUAGGGGAGCGUUCUGUAAGCCUGUGAAGGUGUGUCGUGAGGCAUGCUGGAGGUAUCAGAAGUGCGAAUGCUGACAUAAGUAACGAUAAAGCGGGUGAAAAGCCCGCUCGCCGGAAGACCAAGGGUUCCUGUCCAACGUUAAUCGGGGCAGGGUGAGUCGACCCCUAAGGCGAGGCCGAAAGGCGUAGUCGAUGGGAAACGGGUUAAUAUUCCCGUACUUGGUGUUACUGCGAAGGGGGGACGGAGAAGGCUAUGUUGGCCGGGCGACGGUUGUCCCGGUUUAAGCGUGUAGGUGUGUGUUCCAGGUAAAUCCGGUUCACUUUAACACUGAGGCGUGACGACGAGGCACUACGGUGCUGAAGCAACAAAUGCCCUGCUUCCAGGAAAAGCCUCUAAGCAUCAGGUAACAUCAAAUCGUACCCCAAACCGACACAGGUGGUCAGGUAGAGAAUACCAAGGCGCUUGAGAGAACUCGGGUGAAGGAACUAGGCAAAAUGGUGCCGUAACUUCGGGAGAAGGCACGCUGACACGUAGGUGAAGUGAUUUACUCAUGGAGCUGAAGUCAGUCGAAGAUACCAGCUGGCUGCAACUGUUUAUUAAAAACACAGCACUGUGCAAACACGAAAGUGGACGUAUACGGUGUGACGCCUGCCCGGUGCCGGAAGGUUAAUUGAUGGGGUCAGCGCAAGCGAAGCUCCUGAUCGAAGCCCCGGUAAACGGCGGCCGUAACUAUAACGGUCCUAAGGUAGCGAAAUUCCUUGUCGGGUAAGUUCCGACCUGCACGAAUGGCGUAAUGAUGGCCAGGCUGUCUCCACCCGAGACUCAGUGAAAUUGAACUCGCUGUGAAGAUGCAGUGUACCCGCGGCAAGACGGAAAGACCCCGUGAACCUUUACUAUAGCUUGACACUGAACAUUGAGCCUUGAUGUGUAGGAUAGGUGGGAGGCUUUGAAGUGUGGACGCCAGUCUGCAUGGAGCCGACCUUGAAAUACCACCCUUUAAUGUUUGAUGUUCUAACGUGGACCCGUUACCCGGGUUGCGGACAGUGUCUGGUGGGUAGUUUGACUGGGGCGGUCUCCUCCUAAAGAGUAACGGAGGAGCACGAAGGUUGGCUAAUCCUGGUCGGACAUCAGGAGGUUAGUGCAAUGGCAUAAGCCAGCUUGACUGCGAGCGUGACGGCGCGAGCAGGUGCGAAAGCAGGUCAUAGUGAUCCGGUGGUUCUGAAUGGAAGGGCCAUCGCUCAACGGAUAAAAGGUACUCCGGGGAUAACAGGCUGAUACCGCCCAAGAGUUCAUAUCGACGGCGGUGUUUGGCACCUCGAUGUCGGCUCAUCACAUCCUGGGGCUGAAGUAGGUCCCAAGGGUAUGGCUGUUCGCCAUUUAAAGUGGUACGCGAGCUGGGUUUAGAACGUCGUGAGACAGUUCGGUCCCUAUCUGCCGUGGGCGCUGGAGAACUGAGGGGGGCUGCUCCUAGUACGAGAGGACCGGAGUGGACGCAUCACUGGUGUUCGGGUUGUCAUGCCAAUGGCACUGCCCGGUAGCUAAAUGCGGAAGAGAUAAGUGCUGAAAGCAUCUAAGCACGAAACUUGCCCCGA
RNAcentral lists this ribosomal RNA (2062 nucleotides) under Salmonella enterica. RNAcentral describes it as "partial 23S ribosomal RNA". It matches the Rfam family "Bacterial large subunit ribosomal RNA", at positions 759 to 2802 of the family's 2925-position model. RNAcentral also lists the same sequence under 1 other name. The record is from RNAcentral. Lineage: Bacteria; Pseudomonadati; Pseudomonadota; Gammaproteobacteria; Enterobacterales; Enterobacteriaceae.